This 9397-nucleotide long non-coding RNA is filed under the name Triticum aestivum (bread wheat). RNAcentral's name for it is "long non-coding RNA (TAES_LNC023385)". The record is from RNAcentral. Lineage: Eukaryota; Viridiplantae; Streptophyta; Magnoliopsida; Poales; Poaceae.
UUUUCUAUUUGGAUGCAGCGGUAUGGACCUGUAAUUUCCACCAUCCCGCAGCAGCUGUCUAGGUUCCAGUUCAACAUGGUGAGCUCGUAAGGGUGAUGGGAUUGUGUCCCCAAGGCCUCUUUCGUCAAUCCACUCCGAGCAUCUCUUCGACAUCAAACUGGCUAAUCGACUUAGCAUGACUCGUUUUCUCAGUAACCAUGUUUCCAUGAAUUAUGCAGCACUCUUGGUUUGUAAACUAGACAUGUACCUAUGCUUGUCGUUCAUUUUGCGAUUCUGUUAGUACAUCUCAAAUGUGUUGUAUGCGUGGUGUAUUUUGUGGUUGUAGUUCCGUGUUCUAAUUUAUUUGUGUAUAUGUACCAAUGUAUGUAGUACAAUUUGCAUUAUCUGCUGUAGUAACGCUUCAGACUCGCUUUCUUUUCUGCCGAUGAACUAAGAGUGUUCUUGAAGGAGCUACCCCUUCAAAUCACAAGCUUCCUUAUUAUUUUCGGCAGUGUACCAGAAUCUUUUCAGCUUUCCUCAAUGUUUUUGACAGCGUAUUUGUAAGCCUUUUGAAUGCCUGCCCUUGGUCAUGUGUAAGUUCAGGCAUGUCCAGUAGGCAUGUGGAUGUUUGCCUUGCUGAGCUAAGGGGUGACCAAAAUUCCAAAAGCAUCUGUAAUUUGGUCUGAGAUCAUAACGUUGCUGUUGUCUGCUUUACAUAUUCAAAUAGUAACAACCAUUUCUGUUAUGCAAUUUUUCUCUUAGACAUACUCACUAAAUUCCAGAAGAACGAAAGUCCUAUUCUAAGCCCGAGCUCAGAUCAUAGCCGUCAAGGUUUCUCGCGAUCCCCACCGCUGCAGGUAUAUCAGAACGUAUUUGGGCAACGCCCGUCACCCGCCAGGUAGCGGCUCAGAUGGGGACGCCCUUUCUUGGGCCACGGCUCAGACGGUAGGUGGUAAACGGCCGGAGUCCAUCCAGCCCCACUUAUACAUCUGCCUCCUUCCACUAGAAGAAUCCACACCCUCCCACCCGUUGCCUUAUCUUCUCCAAUCUCGCUUGCAACCAUCAAAACCAAGAAGAUGGCAAGCUUCUACUCCUCCCAGGCCGGCUGGGUGCUCCCGCUGAUCCCUUGUUCAUAACAACAGCAGAUGAAUCUGCUGACAUCGCAUACAAACCACUUACAGCACAGGACAGACAACAUUCCAUCAGACUUAGCAUUUUUCAAAUUUCAUAACCUACUCCAUAACCUGGCAUUCUUUUUUGAUCAUUCUUUUUACAUGCCUCCUGCUAGUUCUACUGCCAUUGCUUUAUGAAAAUUGUUUCGUCGAUGACCUUCGACGCCACAGUUCUUGCAUCUAGCUGGCUUCCUACGACAGUUCUUGUGACCUUGCCUACGACAAAUCGUGCAAAAUCUGGUCCGUUUAGCAUAUGGUUUGCACUCUCACUCCUCUGGGUGCUAGUCAUCUUCGCACAGAAAACGCCCUUAAAAUAAGGUUUCGCCCAUUUCUUACGAAUCUCAAACAGGUUUGUCAUGUACGGAUGAGAUCUCAGCUUGUACUUGUCCAGCAACAUCUCCCAACCUUUUUCAAACUCAUCUUCCGACAGCAUGUGCUUUAUCACCUUAUAAAAUUCAGCCCUGAAUUCACUUUUCUUUGUGUACAAACUACCGAGUGUCUCUUUUGCCUUUUUCAGGAUAUGCCACUUGCACCAUCGGUCGGUCGUGUUUGGCAUAACGUUCUUGAUCGCUAGCUCCAUAGCCCGGUUCUGAUCUGCACAUGUGAAUGCACAACACCAUCACCUUAUAAAAUUCAGCCCUGAAUUCACUUUUCUUUGUGUACAAACUACCGAGUGUAUCUAACUCAUAGGAGCAAUCGGUGAGCUGUUCAGUAUUCACAACCUAUAGGACGAAAUUACCUGUUAGUAUGGUCACAGGUGGAGAACCUCCCAUCAUUCGGAGGAAUUCUGAGAAAACCCAUACAAAACUAUCUUCAGUUUCAUCACGCACAAGCACACCUGCCAGGGUCACACUCUGGAAAUGGUUGUUCACGCCAACAAACAAUCAGAAAGGCAUGUCAUACAGGUUAGUCUGGUAGGUUGUGUCAAACGUGAUCACAUCCCCAAAAAAAGAGUAUUGCAGUCUACUGCUCUCGCUUGCCCACAUCAGAUUCUUGAUCCUCCCCUCGUUGUCAAAUUGAACCCUGUACGUGAAGUGUGGAUCUUUAGCUCCUAUCUCAGCAAACACAUAAAUUGUCUUCUUCACGUCAUCUUCUGCAUGGUCCCUGUUUAUCUUCCCGCACAAAUUACGCAAAGACCUCUUUGUGAACGGAACAUUCUCCAUCAAUCCAAAAACCCUCCAAUGAUGCUGUACACCUUCGCCAAGUUCACAUUGUUCUGCCUCAACUGCUUCACAAGAUCUCUGAUGUACACAUCUAUAUGCUUGUGAGAUGGCCAGUGGAUUGUCUCACCAAAAUUAGGCGACAACGAGUGGUUGUGCGUAUCCCUGUGCUCCGCUAUAUACCAUCCGUUGUGCUCCACUCGUAGCAGCCUAAUUAGAGCAGGACACUCACAGUGACAAGAUCUCGUCUUCUCAACCCCAGCUUUUCCCUGUGAAAAUGUUUUCACAUGUUAGUAUGUUAGCAGAGACACAUGGAAAAUACUCUCAUUUGCAUGUUCUAAUAGAAAAAAAAAACUUUAACUCACCGAGCAACCACAAACUAUUUCCUGCAUGCAUUUGGUCCUCUCCACAUUUAACCUGCUUUUGCCAUAACGAAUGCCAAAUCCCUUCUCCCAGGAGUACAAAUUGUAGAAGUCGUAUGCCUGACCCACCGAGUCGAACGUUGUGCCGAUAACUGGCGUGAUAACAUUCUCCGUUGGAUUCUCAGCAAACCUCCGUACUGCCUUCUCGAACGCACUGACGCGGUUAGGACACGGUUGCCUGCUCGGUGCUGCAGCUCCAAUCCUCAACCUGCGAAAUAAAGCCAACUUCACAUUUCAAUACAAAUCGAUCCAGUAAUUUUCCCAGCAAAUAAUGUUCUCUCACACACGAUGCAUGCAAAAACUAGGUCACACUCCAUACAAUUGUAGACUCAUGCAAUUAUAUGUCCAAUGGGUGUUCCAACCGAAAAUAAUUCUAUGAAACCCUAGCUUUAAUUUUUCACGACUGUUCUAAUCUAUAAUACCUAAAUAGUUCAUCCCCACUAAACUAAUUCUCUUGACAUGCAGCCUAUCCACAUCAGCGGCCUCACUACCUCAUCAUCCUUACUGAUUUUUUUUAGACAAUCAUCCUUUUUUUUACCAAAGGAUUUUCUCCGCAUCGCAACACUUCCUGUCUUCACGGCAGCAUUCUUUUUCCCUGAUUUUUUUGUGUGGAAACGCCUCUUGAUUUUCUCUCCCACUUGUCUGCAUCGCAACACUUCCUGUCUUCACGGCAGCAUUCUUUUUCCCUGAGAAUUUUUUAUGGAAACGCCUCUUGAUUUUCUCUCCCACUUGGCCUUCUUUAAUCUCCAUCAAAUCCCACUAAUACCCUUCCUGGUGGAGGGUAAUCAACGCACGCCACCCCCACGAGGCCCCUCGGCUCAUCUCCCUUGGGCUUCAUCCCCCAUAAAUCCACCGCCCCUCUUUUCGUUCACCCACGCACGUAGGCUAAUCCUACAUCAGGCUCGCUCCUCCUCUUUCUCACAUCCAUGGCGAUAAUGAUGCGUGCGUGGAUGAUUAUCAUGAUCCUAGGGCGACAACGCGUGUGUACCUGCCUCCUCCACCUCCAUUGUGGUGUCCUCACUUCCUCCCUCAAAGUCAUCGUCACCGUCUACCUAAGCCAUCAAGGACACCAGCACCAAUAGCAGUAAUACCUCAAGGUCCACCUCGCCGGCGAGCAGCAUGGCGUCCUCACCUACCCGCUCACCUCGUCGUCCGACAUCAUCGUCAUAUAGAAGCAGCACAUGCGGCCGUCCUACGACAAACUCACGAUGAGUCCACCACUACUGACAACAACACCAAGAUCGCAUGAAGCUGGACCAUGAGCUGACGAGUUCCUGGCCAUACUCGACCUAAUAUGAAGAAACUACUCGGGUAUGAGGAGGCCACAGAUUGUUUUUUUUUCAACAAGCCUUUGCCAUGCGUGAUUUGAAGAAGCCUGGCUGGUGGCUCCACCACCAUGGGUGUCUACUCUAUGAUGCCGACAACAUGUAGAUGCCAUUCGGAAAUCCUCUCUUUUUUUCCGAAAAGAUUCAGAAAUCCUCUCUGUAUACAACUUUUUCGCACUGCCUUAAACCAUGGGCCUAUGAUGCCGGCAACACGUAUAUGCCAUUAGGUUCCUCUCUGGAUACAUUUUUUCAACUCUGCCUUAAUUUGUUGUACAAUAUGAUGAAUCGAUACCCUAAAUUCUUGUGGUUUUGGAACUGUGUUGUAUGGAUGGGUGAGUGCAUCCCUCCUUUGUUCAUGCUGGUGAUAGUGGUAAGCAAUUUUUGGAUUCGAUGUAAUAUUUUUUUCCAAGCAAGAGAUGGUAAGUCGAUAUAUACUUGAACACAGUUAAAUUUGUUUCAGGAAAGGGAGCACUACUAUUAAUGAUUGUUUAUCUCAUCUCCAUCGAAGUUGCUUUCAAUUAUUUUUUGUCUGCUAUAUACUUGCAGGUAAGUUCUUAAUGCUUCAACUAACCAUGCCUCUUCGUCACACCAGAUAUUUGCAUAUAUCAGAACGCAUCCCCGGUGACAGAAACUUCAGAAAUUGCUCAACUAAGUAACUUUUCAUUACUAAAUUUCAUUAAAUAUAUUGUACUUCCUACCCCAUUGUAUGUGUGUACAUUAAUUUUCAUUGUGCAACUCUCAGAACGACUUAACUUCUUCCGCUGCAUAUUUUCUGCAUGGAGUUAUCUGAACUAUAAUGUGGUAACCAUAUUUUGCGAGCCCCCAAUCUGCUAUGUGUCAAAUUUGAGUUAUGCCAUUUAAUUGAUGAAAGUUUAACUUCAUCAUGGAACAUGAUUGUGUAAGCUUUUCCAAGCAAUGCCUCGCCUGGUGUCAUGCCUUUUAUUUCUUUAUUCGAUCAUUGCCUGUUUUCUUUGUUAUACAUACACCUCCAAAAGAUUGACAAAAUUUCCCGCAGCAACGCGCGGGGGUAUCAUCUAGUAUGUACAAAUACACUAGAUCAUUGCCUCACAUCUAAAGUACAAGAUUCGCUGCACACAUGCUGACCACCUAGUUCCUCCAAAAAUAAGCAAGACCACAAGAAUAUGUGAUGUUCUGCACUAAUAGUAAUCUGAUGGUUCUUUCACUAUCAGUAUGUCAGUUAUCUGCUAAACAUGCCCAACACACACAACUGACCUCUUGUUCCACCCAGGGGCUCGCGGAUUCAUCUUCGCAGUGGACAACUCUGACGACGGAGGUGAGCUCUCCAACCUAACCUCGGCGGACGCCGGUCCUGCCACAAUCUGCGCAUGGCCGCUGGCGGCCUGCUGCACGGGUGGCAAGGUAUCCUGCCGCACAACUGGAAGCUCGACCACCAUAUCUACAACAUGCUGCCCCGCCGCCACAGAGGCCAGCUCCGGCGGCGCCGGCGGUACCAAGCUUUUUCCAACCUCUUCCAAGAAAGUGGAUCUGAUACAGGCGCUAAAGCAUGUUAAAUCCAGAGAAACGAGACAACUGGGGGCUAGGGACGGCGGGGGACGGGCGUCGCGGGCGGAGAGAAAGGGCUCUGUGACGUACCCGCGUAUUGGUUGCAGCAGGAACUCCAUUGCUGGUCGCCGGCGGCGCCCGUCGANNNNNNNNNNNNNNNNNNNNNNNNNNNNNNNNNNNNNNNNNNNNNNNNNNNNNNNNNNNNNNNNNNNNNNNNNNNNNNNNNNNNNNNNNNNNNNNNNNNNNNNNNNNNNNNNNNNNNNNNNNNNNNNNNNNNNNNNNNNNNNNNNNNNNNNNNNNNNNNNNNNNNNNNNNNNNNNNNNNNNNNNNNNNNNNNNNNNNNNNNNNNNNNNNNNNNNNNNNNNNNNNNNNNNNNNNNNNNNNNNNNNNNNNNNNNNNNNNNNNNNNNNNNNNNNNNNNNNNNNNNNNNNNNNNNNNNNNNNNNNNNNNNNNNNNNNNNNNNNNNNNNNNNNNNNNNNNNNNNNNNNNNNNNNNNNNNNNNNNNNNNNNNNNNNNNNNNNNNNNNNNNNNNNNNNNNNNNNNNNNNNNNNNNNNNNNNNNNNNNNNNNNNNNNNNNNNNNNNNNUAAUGCCGAUUCUAGCCCACGGCCCAAAUGGUCAUGGUUGACGGACGUCCCCCCGCACGUUACAGACAAGCCCACCAACCCUACCUGCCGCGUACGUAUUUCUGCACAGUACAAAUUUUCUAUCGUUUUUCCUGUGCUCGUAUUACCUCGCGGCACACAUCCACAUGGGCUAUCGAACGCACCAGAUAACGAGCUCAGCUGAGCUCGGGCGCAAUAACUCCGCAUCCCUCCAGAAGAGCCUUUUCAUUAUGCAAUUUCUCCCUUACACAUAUCCACUGAUUCCAGAAGAAGAAUGAGAUUAGAUUUUGGUUAAAAAAAUAAAAAAAAUAGGCAUGGGAGGCCACUCCAUACCAAAACCACUAUAUCUGGGGAAGAUUUCUUCACCACCUUUCACCACUUGGGUGAAAGUGACUGGAGGACCUAUAUACACCUGACACGUGCAAAUGUUAGGGACGUCAUAGUGUAGAUAAUGCCUAUGGAUCUAGCGCGUGCCUUCAAAUUUUCUUACCAUGUUGCACAUCUUUGCGUGUGGACCUAGCUAUUUUGGGGGAGAUUGGGGACAUUCUGAUUGUAGCUACCUCGGCCAUGUGCGCUGCAUGGGCUCAAGUUGACUACGUAGGUCCUGUUUUGUUUGUUGAGCUCAAGUUGAGCUCAGAACACCCAUCCUUCCCUACAAUGCCCACGUCCGGUGCUCAUUGCCGGAGCCCCAUUGUCGGGCCUUAUAUCCAUUCGGGUGCCCGUCCCUCCUUCUCUCCUCCAUCGCCGCAGCUUCAUAUGUUCGUCGUGCCCCUUCUCCCAGCCAGGAACUCCAACCAUGACGUGGCGGCCGGAUCGAGCCCAUAUGGCGUGGCGACGACGACACCCGCGGUUCCCGCUGGCCCAAUCGGGUUCUUCUGCUCUCCCCAUCCUCUCUCGGUGUGAGCCACCUGCAGCAACCCAAAGGCUGAGGACAUCUUCCGGGCUACAACGCAGACCUGCUUCGGCAGUUCCCGUAUGGAGCCACGCGCACAACCCGGUCUCAAAGAAAGGCCCAUCUCGACACAGAGCAUCACCUAGCGUGGCUGGCAACUCUCAACCGAGAUCCCUGUGGUGGGGCAGUGUGGCGGCAUGCGAGGCCAUCCGGUGAGCACCCUCCAGCACACGACGCACGGCACAACGACGCCCUCCGGCGUGGCUGACCGCGGCCGCGGCCGUGGUCCUACAGGUGCGCUUUGCGUGGGGUCAACCUCCCGGCGCAGUGCCCUCCGGGCCGGGGAGCACCGUCGCAUGCUGCCGACCCGAGGGUAGCCCUUCAUGCUGCCUCGUGGUGCCGCCGUCUGCUUAAGUACAGGACACGUGUUUGCUGCCGGCGGCGGCCAGGGCGAGCGCGGGUUGCCGAGUCGACCCGCGGUCGACUGAGUGAAUGCCCAAUGUCUAAUCUUGGCUGUCGAGUAUCUGUAUUUUUACGGGCUUGAAGCUAUGUACCACUUGAUUUUAUCUUAUUGAAUAAAGUUAGCCUGCUGCAUGGCAACCGCGUAUUCUAUUAAUUUGCAUAUUGGCCAACGUGUGUAUGCACUAGCAACAGCUGAUGUGACUACGUGCAUGCGCACCUCCAAGAUGCUUUCAAGGGGUACGCACGGUAUCAGUUUUUCCCAGUUGUGUUCGGCGUGGCUCCUAUGUAUAGUUUAUGUGUAUAUCAGUAUAUGGCCGAUGCGUGCUAACGCACACUUUUAGUUAGUUUUAUUCCCUCAUGAAGGCCAUGCAGGAACAACAGAUAGAGGUCAUUUUAUCUAAUUCAAAAGUGAUAUAUUUCCAACUGUGUUUAAUGAUGUCCGGACAUUGGCAAAUUUGAAAGUUGAAACACCUUGGCUGAUAGAGAAACAGAUGAGCUCAAAUGUUGUUCCUCUGUGAUUAAACUCAUUCGAUGCCGACCAGGUAGAAUUGGGACCUAAUGAUGCUACAGCACCUGCAGAUCGGGCUGCAGGAGUUCAUAAUGAUGGGACUACACCUCGGGAUAGUAGAUUUUGCUUUGUGUAUUCUAGAAAGUGAUUUUGCAGGAGAAGGAAUGGUUAUGCCAACAUUUCAAAAGAUGAUUCAAAUCCUAAAAGCAAAGCUACUUCUGUGGUGUUUCUUGCUUUAGCUACUGGUGGGGAGGAUGAUACUAAAACUGGUGCUUCAGUGAAAUAUGUCAUGUUGUUUUCCACUUAAAUAUGUUUACAUGUUAAUUUCUGAAGCUUGCAGUGUUAGGCUUCCGAGUACUUUGGUUCACAUGAGCAUGGUUCAUUGAUCAUACCUUACGACAUGCAGUAUGUCCGAACAUAAAAACGAUGUCUUCCUGCUUCCACAUUUCUAUAUAGUACAAGGUUUUGUUAGCAUAAGCUAAUAACAUUUACUGUAAAUAGUAAACACAAUCCAUAUGAACACACCAUAUCGAGAGGCGCGGCGUGCCGCCGCACGGGAUUUGCUAGUUAUAUACUAUAGCAUAUUCUGGACACCCCGUUGCAGCCAAUGUUUGGGAUUCCAUGCUCAGCUUCUGAAUCAAUUAUCGACUGGGAACUCUACGGUCAAGCAUAGCGUGUAUGGAAAUGAACUUUCUAUGGAUUCAUAGCCUUCAGCAAACCCAUGGUAUCGUAUUUUUUCUAAUGAAAUUCAGACCCCACACAAAGUCUGCUCAAACAUGGCUAUGUUUUGCUCUGCGACUUAUAUUAUUAAAUCGUACCGUUAUUAUGGGUCUUAAAUGUGAUGAAAGUCUGAAAUCUGUUUUCUAUUUGGAUGCAGAGGUAUGGACCUGUAAUUUCCACCAUCCCGCAGCAGCUGUCUAGGUUCCAGUUCAACAUGGUGAGCUCGUAAGGGUGAUGAGAUAGUGUCCCCAAGGCCUCUUUUGGCAACCCAUUCUGAGCGUCUCUUCGACAUCAAACUGGCUAAUCGACUUAGCAUGACUUGUUUUCUCAGUAACCAUGUUUCCAUGAAUUAUGCGGCACUGUUGGUCUAAAAACUAGACAUGUACCUAUGUUUGUCAUUCAUUUUGCGAUUCUGUUAGUACAUCUCAAAUGUGUUGUAUGUGUGGUGUAUUUUGUGGUUGUUGUUCCGUGUUCUAAUUUACUUUGUGUAUAUGGACCAAUGUAUGUAUUUAUAAUUUGCAUGAUCUCCUAUAGUAAGUCUUCAGGCUCGCUCUCUAUUGUCCGCCGAUGAACUGAGAAUGUUUUUGACAGCGUAUGGUAAGCAUUUUUGAAUGGCUGUCCUUGGUCAUG